AUGAGCACGGCCAGAACAGAGAACCUUGUUAUAAUGGGUCUGUCCAGUCAAAAUGGUCAGCGGAGGGGCCCUGUGAAACCCAUUAGUGGCCCUGGAGGAGGGGGCACCCAGACACAGCAACAGAUGAACCAGCUAAAAAACACUAGCACAAUCAAUAAUGGCACCCAGUAGCAAGCACAGUGUAUGACCACCACUAUUAGGCCUGGUGACGACUGGAAAAAGACUAUAAAACUCCCUCCAAAGGAUCUAAGAAUCAAAACUUCGGAAGUGCCCUCCACACUCCAAACAAGAAAAUGAGUUUGAAGAUUAUUGUUUGAAACGGGAGUUACUGAAGGGAAUUUUUGAAAUGGGCUGGGAAAAGCCACCUCCUGUUCAGGAGGAGAGCAUUCCCAUUGCUUUAUCUGGUAGGCAUAUCUUAGCUAGAGCAAAACAUGGAACAGGCAAGAGCAGAACCUACCUCAUUCCCUUACUUGAACGGCGAGAUCUGAAGAAGCACAAUAUACAAGCAGUGGUGCUUGUUCCGACUAGAGAACUUGCUCUACAGGUCAGUCAAAUUUGCGUCCAGGUCAGGAAACACAUGGGAGGGGCCAAAGUGAUGGCAACCACAGGAGGAACCAAUUUACGAGAUGACAUAAUUAGGCUUGAUGAUACAAUGCACGUAGUGAUUGCUACCCCUAGGAGAAUCCUGGAUGUUACUAAGAAAAGACAAAGGUUGAUCAUGUCCAGAUGAUAGUAUUGCAUGAGCAGGCAGAUAAGUUGCUGUCACAGGAUUUUGUGCAGAUAAUGGAGGAUAUUAUUAUCGUGCUACCUAAAAACAGGAAGAUUUUACUACAUUCUGCUACUUUCCCUUUUAGUGUACAGAAGUUCAUGAAUUCCCACUUGCAGAAACCCUAUGAGAUUAACCUGAUGGAGGAACUAACUCUAAAGGGAGUAACCCAGUACUAUGCAUGUAUAACUGAGCUUCAAAAAGUACACUGCCUCAACGCACUUUUCUCCAGGCUUCAGAUAAACCAGUCGAUCAUUUUCUGUAACUCCUCUCAGCAAGUUGAAUUGCUAGCCAAGACUUCUCAACUAGGUUAUUCUUGCUUCUAUAUUCAUGCUAAAAUGAGGCAGGAACAUCAAAAUCGUGUAUUUCAUGAUUUCCGAAAUGGCUUAUGAUGCGAUCUUGUUUACACUGAUCUGUUUACCCGAGGUACUGAUAUACAAGGUGUGAAUGUGUUAAUAAACUUUGAUUUCCCAAAGCUCGCAGAGACCUAUCUCCAUCGUAUUGGAAGAUCAGGUCGCUUUGGUCAUCCUGGCUUAGCCAUCAACUUGAUCACAUAUGAUGAUCACUUCAACCUGAAAAGUAUUGAGGAGCAGCUGGGAACAGAAAUUAAACCUAUUCCAAGCAAUAUUGACAAGAGCCUGUGUGGGGCAGAAUACCACAGCGAGCCUGUAGAAGAUGAGAAGCCUUAA
RNAcentral lists this long non-coding RNA (1455 nucleotides) under Homo sapiens (human). RNAcentral's name for it is "long non-coding RNA NONHSAT034576.2". The record is from RNAcentral. Lineage: Eukaryota; Metazoa; Chordata; Mammalia; Primates; Hominidae.